AUGAUUUUAGGUGCUUGCACUUGAAAGAUUUAACAUUGAGACGAGUGGCGAACUGGUGAGUAACACGUGGGUAACCUGCCCUUGAAGUAGGGGAUAACACUUGGAAACAGGUGCUAAUACCGUAUAACAACCAAAACCACCUGGUUUUGGUUUAAAAGACGGCUUCGGCUGUCACUUUAGGAUGGACCCGCGGCGUAUUAGCUUGUUGGUAAGGUAACGGCUUACCAAGGCGAUGAUACGUAGCCGACCUGAGAGGGUAAUCGGCCACAUUGGGACUGAGACACGGCCCAAACUCCUACGGGAGGCAGCAGUAGGGAAUCUUCCACAAUGGACGAAAGUCUGAUGGAGCAACGCCGCGUGAGUGAUGAAGGGUUUCGGCUCGUAAAACUCUGUUGUUGGAGAAGAACAGGUGUCAGAGUAACUGUUGACAUCUUGACGGUAUCCAACCAGAAAGCCACGGCUAACUACGUGCCAGCAGCCGCGGUAAUACGUAGGUGGCAAGCGUUGUCCGGAUUUAUUGGGCGUAAAGCGAGCGCAGGCGGUUUUUUAGGUCUGAUGUGAAAGCCUUCGGCUUAACCGGAGAAGUGCAUCGGAAACCGGGAGACUUGAGUGCAGAAGAGGACAGUGGAACUCCAUGUGUAGCGGUGAAAUG
RNAcentral lists this ribosomal RNA (652 nucleotides) under Lentilactobacillus buchneri. RNAcentral's name for it is "bacterial SSU rRNA". It matches the Rfam family "Bacterial small subunit ribosomal RNA", at positions 66 to 688 of the family's 1533-position model. The record is from RNAcentral. Lineage: Bacteria; Bacillati; Bacillota; Bacilli; Lactobacillales; Lactobacillaceae.